This 103-nucleotide ribosomal RNA is filed under the name Caerostris darwini. Lineage: Eukaryota; Metazoa; Arthropoda; Arachnida; Araneae; Araneidae. The record is from RNAcentral.
ACCAUGCUGAAUAUACCGGUUCUCGUUAGAUCACCGAAGUCAAGCAUCAUUGGGCGCGGUCAGUACUUGGGUGGGUGACCACCUGGGAACACCGCGUGCCGUU